RNAcentral lists this ribosomal RNA (394 nucleotides) under uncultured Methanosaeta sp. RNAcentral describes it as "bacterial SSU rRNA". It matches the Rfam family "Archaeal small subunit ribosomal RNA", at positions 946 to 1338 of the family's 1478-position model. The record is from RNAcentral. Lineage: Archaea; Methanobacteriati; Methanobacteriota; Methanomicrobia; Methanotrichales; Methanotrichaceae.
UAUGAAGGCCAGGCUGAAGACUUUGUCCGGAUUAGCUGAGAGGUGGUGCAUGGCCGUCGUCAGUUCGUACUGUGAAGCAUCCUGUUAAGUCAGGCAACGAGCGAGACCCACGCCCACAGUUGCCAGCGUACUCUCCGGAGUGACGGGUACACUGUGGGACCGCCGCUGCUAAAGCGGAGGAAGGGAAUGGGCAACGGUAGGUCAGUAUGCCCCGAAUAUCCCGGGCUACACGCGAGCUACAAUGGUUGGUACAAUGGGUAUCUACCCCGAAAGGGGACGGAAAUCUCCUAAAACCAAUCUUAGUUCGGAUUGAGGGCUGCAACUCGCCCUCAUGAAGCUGGAAUCCGUAGUAAUCGCGUUUCAACAGAACGCGGUGAAUACGUCCCUGCUCCUU